ACUCUCAGCUUGGACUGGG
This 19-nucleotide small nuclear RNA is filed under the name Arabidopsis thaliana (thale cress). RNAcentral describes it as "snRNA_08312". The record is from RNAcentral. Lineage: Eukaryota; Viridiplantae; Streptophyta; Magnoliopsida; Brassicales; Brassicaceae.